RNAcentral lists this ribosomal RNA (357 nucleotides) under uncultured bacterium. RNAcentral describes it as "bacterial SSU rRNA". It matches the Rfam family "Bacterial small subunit ribosomal RNA", at positions 29 to 412 of the family's 1533-position model. The record is from RNAcentral.
AACGAACGCUGGCGGCAUGCCUAACACAUGCAAGUCGAACGAGACCUUCGGGUCUAGUGGCGCACGGGUGCGUAACGCGUGGGAAUCUGCCCUUUGCUUCGGAAUAACAGUUAGAAAUGACUGCUAAUACCGGAUGAUGUCUUCGGACCAAAGAUUUAUCGGCAAAGGAUGAGCCCGCGUAGGAUUAGGUAGUUGGUGGGGUAAAGGCCUACCAAGCCGACGAUCCUUAGCUGGUCUGAGAGGAUGAUCAGCCACACUGGGACUGAGACACGGCCCAGACUCCUACGGGAGGCAGCAGUGGGGAAUAUUGGACAAAUGGGCGAAAGCCUGAUCCAGCAAUGCCGCGUGAGUGAUGAA